RNAcentral lists this transfer RNA (72 nucleotides) under Gryllus bimaculatus (two-spotted cricket). RNAcentral's name for it is "tRNA-Lys". The record is from RNAcentral. Lineage: Eukaryota; Metazoa; Arthropoda; Insecta; Orthoptera; Gryllidae.
UCAUCAAAUGACUGAAAGUAAGUAAUGAUCUCUUAAAUCAUAUUAUAGUAAUUAACGACUACUUUUGAUGAA